RNAcentral lists this unclassified non-coding RNA (2550 nucleotides) under Portunus trituberculatus (swimming crab). RNAcentral's name for it is "sET domain-containing protein SmydA-8-like, transcript variant X1". The record is from RNAcentral. Lineage: Eukaryota; Metazoa; Arthropoda; Malacostraca; Decapoda; Portunidae.
ACUGAUGGGUUUACAGCAAGGCGUCUAGAAUCAAGUCAGAUGUGAAUUUACAAGUCAAACAAGAUCUGUGAAGCGAUCAACACCUCGCCUAGUGCUUAUAAAAGGUGUUAAAUCCGUACAUACAGGGGUGACUCUAAAGGAAAACAAGCACCGCAGAAAAUGGGAACUUGGUGCUAGAAAGAAAACGAAUGUUGGUGUGUGGGCAUUAGCAGGGAGGUUGUAGGACAGACGAGGUAUAACUGUCUUCUGUCGACUCACUGCUGCUGCUGCUGCUGCUUCUGGCGAGCGACCAACAUUUCCUCCCCCGCCGCCGCCAACACAGCAGCACCGCGCCCUAUGUGCUGCUGUUCCCGGCGCUGCACGAUAUGGCAAAGACGUCGCAAAGAAGGGACGUUGAUGUGUGUGUGUGUGUGUGUGUGUGUGUGUGUGUGUGUGUGUGUGUGUGUGUGUGUGUGUGUGUGUGUGUGUGUGUGUGUGUGUGUGUGACUAUGUGUGUGUGUGUGUGUGUGUGUGUGUGUGUGUGUGUGUGUGUGUGUGUGUGUGUGUCAAGGCUCCAGAAAGCAGUGUUCUGACAGCAGAUGUCAGCGAUGUGGCGGCUCUUUAACGAGAAACCUUACGGACACAUGAAUUCGUUUUUUUUUUUUUUUUUUUAUUUUUAAAUGUUCUCGAUGACCUUCAGCGAGGCGCGGGAGGCGCAUGCAGGGCUGUCAGUGGCGGGGUGUGGCAGGCAUCUAAUAUCUUCUUUCCGGCGUUACUUUUCAGUAGGAGGAAGGCACCGUGGCCCGUCAGGUGCCAUGGGAGGGGCGGAAGGGCACACUAGAUCUAGGCAGAUGGCUCCUCAGCCACAAGCGCACCGACAGAAGAUUCCUUCACAAGCACUGCAAGCUCCAGACUUUCCCGUCGCCGAGCAGUCUUCUUCUGACGCCGGCAGAUUCCUGGUGGCACAGCGGCCGGUGUCACCGGGGGAGCUGCUGGUGUAUGAAUCGCCCGUGGCGCUGGGGCCACGCGCCUCCUGCUACCCUGUGUGUUUGGGCUGCCACGAACUAAUAAGUGAUGAGGCUGUGCCGCGGUGUGAGCGGUGCUGGUGGCCCCUGUGCUCACAGCGAUGCGCCUCCAGCCUCCGUCACGCCGCUGAGUGCCCCGUGCUGGCAGCCGACAGCCAAAGGAUCGGACAGCCACAGUUCUUCGGCUACAGUUCGAAGUAUGACGUCAUCCUGGUGGUGCGGUGCCUUUUGCUGCGAAGGACAAACCCUGACGCGUGGCGCCACCUGCUGGAGCUGGCCAGCCACGUGCCUUACCGCUUACUGGAGGACGAUGAUGACCACCAGACCACUGUCGACUACGUGACGCAGGUACUCAAGGUGGAGGAGGACACCCAGCUGGUACACCACGUACGUGACGCCAUCACCACCAACAGUUUCGAGUGGACGAGUCCCUCCGGCGUGAGGCUGCGGGGCCUGUACCUGCAACUGUCUCGCCUCAACCACUCCUGCCGCCCAUCCGUCUCCGUGUCGUCUGACGGCAAAGGCACCAUGUUUGUACGUGCGGCUCGUGACCUGGCGGGCGGCGACGCCCUCACGGUGGCCUACACGUCCACCCUCCAUCCACUGUGGGAGCGCCGCGCCUACACCAAACAAACGCACUACUUCAUCUGUGACUGUGACCGAUGCAGUGACCCCACAGAGCUGGGCGUGCACUACUCCUCGCUGCCGUGCCCUGAGUGCCGCGGCCAGUACCUGGAGCCCACCACUUGGCUAGGGGACGCCACAUGGGAGUGCCCGGUGUGUGGCAGACGGCAGGAGGAGGCAGCCAUCAGGGAGGAGGUGGACCGUUGGAUGAGCCGUUUUGAUUAUGACGACACCUUCAUCAAGAGCACCCCGACGGCCGUGCGGGGCAUCCUGGACGGCGUGCAGAUGGCCUUCCACGCCCACCACUACGUGUGGGUCAUGGCGGCGCAGGUGGCCAUCAGGACGCUCGCGCCGGACCACUCCCGCAAGGCCAUGACGCUCAAGCGGCAGCUGUGGCAGAGACUCUUGCACAUCUACAGCAUCCUGGAGCCCGGCAUGACCAGGAGACGAGGUGCCGUGCCCCUCCCUCCUUUCGCUCACUCACCUCCCGCCGCCCCCGCUUGGAGGAGCCACUGACCGGCGAGUCAUGCUGACGCUGACCCUAACACACCUGCGGCACAUCUGCUCAACGUACCAUACCACCAACCUAAUCUCUCUCUCUCUCUCUCUCUCUCUCUCUCUCUGGUAAUGUGCUUCACCUAACAAGCUCUCACAACCGCAGCCAUUCCUCAAUUGAGCAUAACGCCACGCCUCCACCUGCCCCCUGAUGCCUCUGCUGCCGGCGGGAUCUGAUACAUGCACACACACACACACGCCCAGACGGAGAGAGGCGGCGGUGGGCGUAAGGUGUGACUCUCUACCACCUGGGCACCGUCGAGGCGGACCUGACGAGGGUUGAGCGAGGGGAAGGGACGCUCACCGACCACUUCUUCAGGCAGGAGCUCCACCGCGCGCUCCAGCACCUUCAGGAGGCCGCUGAUAU